Molecule: ribosomal RNA, 434 nt
Filed under: uncultured bacterium
Lineage: Bacteria
Description: partial 16S ribosomal RNA
Rfam family: Bacterial small subunit ribosomal RNA
Source: RNAcentral
AGCGAACGCUGGCGGCAGGCCUAACACAUGCAAGUCGAACGAACCUUUCGGGGUUAGUGGCGGACGGGUGAGUAACACGUGGGAACGUGCCUUUAGGUUCGGAAUAACUCAGGGAAACUUGUGCUAAUACCGAAUGUGCCCUUCGGGGGAAAGAUUAAUCGCCUUUAGAGCGGCCCGCGUCUGAUUAGCUAGUUGGUUGAGGUAAUGGCUCACCAAGGCGACGAUCAGUAGCUGGUCUGAGAGGAUGAUCAGCCACAUUGGGACUGAGACACGGCCCAAACUCCUACGGGAGGCAGCAGUGGGGAAUCUUGCGCAAUGGGCGAAAGCCUGACGCAGCCAUGCCGCGUGAAUGAUGAAGGUCUUAGGAUUGUAAAAUUUUUUCACCGGGGACGAUAAUGACGGUACCCGGAGAAGAAGCCCCGGCUAACUUCGUG